GACUCUAGAAAUUAAAAGGAUCUCUCCUAUUUCCUAGCUAUGUGGCUUCGGCAAUUUAUUAAUCUCUUUGUGCUUAUAGUUCCUUAUGUGCUAAAUGCCUAUUCAGGCUGUUAUGGCAAUCAGUGAGAAACCACAUGUUAAGUGCUUUUCAACAGUACCUGGCACAGAAUAGAUGCUCAGUAAAUGGAUAAAGACCUUUCAAACUGGAGUUUUACCUCCUGGCUUUUCUCCCUGCAGCCAACUCCCUUAAUGUCAAGCAGUGAAGAUGGAUCCUGGGGAAAUAAAUUCCAAAACUAUUGUAAUGGAAAGAGUUAGCUUCAGUCAACUUUAACAUUAAACUGUUAAUAAAAGAGUCUUCCCCAUAAAGAAGUCACCGGGCAGCCUUUCUCCUAAGAACUCAGCUUAUUAACCAUUACCCUCUGGACAUGCGUCUCCCACAUAUACACACGCACCUUUUCUGAGCAGCCUCAGCUUUUUCCUGCUGAAGCCCGGGAAAGUCUCUGCAUCUCACUUGGUAAAAUAGUGAUUUAAUGAGAUGUUUAAUUAUUUUUGAACCAACAACAAUAUUUUGCUGAAUACUAUAAUUGCAUUUUCCAUUUUGCUGGAAAAUUGAAUGCUGAGAAGCAUGUGAACUUGUCAUGUCAGUGCACAGUCUGAAAAAUCAACAGACUCAACACUAAAGGCUGUGGCUCCUUUUCCAAUCAUCCAUAAUACGGAGCAACAGGUUUUGAGGACUCUCUAAAUCCAGCUCAAGAGAAAAAAUUCGAGAGUCAGCGGACAGACACCAGGACGGGAUAAUUAAAUACGCUGAAGGGCCUGUCACGACUCCACGUGAAUCCAGGAGACAGAGCUUUCAUGGACCAAUCACUGCAUUCCCCCAAAGUGCCC
This 888-nucleotide long non-coding RNA is filed under the name Equus caballus (horse). RNAcentral's name for it is "lncRNA (ENSECAG00000055681.1)". The record is from RNAcentral. Lineage: Eukaryota; Metazoa; Chordata; Mammalia; Perissodactyla; Equidae.